GCCGGGCGUGGUGGUGCGUGCCUGUAGUCCCAGCUACUUGGGAGGCUGAGGCAGGAGAAUCGCUGGAACCUGGGAGGCUGAGAUUGCAGUGAGCCAAGAUUGGGCCACUGCACUCCAGCCUGGGUGACAGUGCGAGACUCCGUCUCAA
This is an unclassified non-coding RNA of Macaca fascicularis (crab-eating macaque), 148 nucleotides long. It matches the Rfam family "Metazoan signal recognition particle RNA". From Rfam's summary of the family: The signal recognition particle (SRP) is a universally conserved ribonucleoprotein. It is involved in the co-translational targeting of proteins to membranes. The eukaryotic SRP consists of a 300-nucleotide 7S RNA and six proteins: SRPs 72, 68, 54, 19, 14, and 9. NCBI's taxonomy places the organism in Eukaryota, Metazoa, Chordata, Mammalia, Primates, Cercopithecidae. The record is from Ensembl.